CGAGGAAGGGAGACAAGGAUGAGCUCCGUCCGGCCCGCUCCAAGCUGGAUGAGUUACUGGGACGGGGCUCCACAACCAAAGCCCUGGAGCGGCCGGGCACAGCGGAGCGCAGGGAGUUCAAGCUGGAUGCGAAAUACCAGAAGCAGCCAGAGAAGGACGAGCCAGGGGAUGAGGAGGAUUUUGUCUUUGGCGCGUACCAGCCCUCGGUGGCCUCGGCGCCAGAGGGGCGGCCACCGCGGCGGCAGCCA
Molecule: non-coding RNA, 248 nt
Organism: Tinamus guttatus (white-throated tinamou)
Lineage: Eukaryota; Metazoa; Chordata; Aves; Tinamiformes; Tinamidae
Source: RefSeq, a predicted model, not a curated record